GAUCAUGGCUCAGGAUGAACGCUGGCUACAGGCUUAACACAUGCAAGUCGAGGGGAAACGACGGGGAAGCUUGCUUCCUCGGGCGUCGACCGGCGCACGGGUGAGUAACGCGUAUCCAACCUGCCUCUGACUGAGGGAUAACCCGUCGAAAGUCGGCCUAAUACCUCAUGGCAUCGUCUGCGGGCAUCCAACGACGAUUAAAGAUUUCAUCGGUCAGGGAUGGGGACGCGUCUGAUUAGCUGGG
RNAcentral lists this ribosomal RNA (244 nucleotides) under uncultured bacterium. RNAcentral's name for it is "partial 16S ribosomal RNA". It matches the Rfam family "Bacterial small subunit ribosomal RNA", at positions 15 to 249 of the family's 1533-position model. The record is from RNAcentral.